UUGCUAGUUUUCAGUAUUCUUGGGUCUAGGAUGACUCAGUGCUUUCCUACGAUGCUUGCUAGAAUGUUCUGAAAUGGUUUGAGGCCUUGACCCAUGCCUUGCUUGAAGCAUGGUCAUAGACAUUUCAGAUGGUU
Small nucleolar RNA from Bison bison bison, 134 nucleotides. The record is from Ensembl. NCBI's taxonomy places the organism in Eukaryota, Metazoa, Chordata, Mammalia, Artiodactyla, Bovidae.